GAUGAACGCUGGCGGUAUGCUUAACACAUGCAAGUCGAACGGGUGUCCUUCGGGACAUUAGUGGCGGACGGGUGAGUAACGCGUGAGAAUCUGCCUUCAGGAUGGGGACAACAAUUGGAAACGAUUGCUAAUACCCGAUAUGACGAAAGUUGAAAGAUUUAUCGCCUGGAGAUGAGCUCGCGUCAGAUUAGCUAGAUGGUGUGGUAACGGCGCACCAUGGCGACGAUCUGUAGCUGGUCUGAGAGGAUGAGCAGCCACACUGGGACUGAGACACGGCCCAGACUCCUACGGGAGGCAGCAGUGGGGAAUUUUCCGCAAUGGGCGCAAGCCUGACGGAGCAAUACCGCGUGAGGGAGGAAGGCUCUUGGGUCGUAAACCUCUUUUCUCAGGGAAGAACACAAUGACGGUACCUGAGGAAUCAGCAUCGGCUAACUCCGUGCCAGCAGCCGCGGUAAUACGGAGGAUGCAAGCGUUAUCCGGAAUGAUUGGGCGUAAAGCGUCCGUAGGUGGUUCUGUAAGUCUGUGGUUAAAGCGCGGGGCUCAACCCCAUAACGGCCAUGGAAACUACAAGACUUGAGUGAAGUAGGGGUAGAGGGAAUUCCCAGUGUAGCGGUGAAAUGCGUAGAGAUUGGGAAGAACACCGGUGGCGAAAGCGCUCUACUGGACUUAAACUGACACUGAGGGACGAAAGCUAGGGGAGCGAAAGGGAUUAGAUACCCCUGUAGUCCUAGCCGUAAACGAUGGAUACUAGGUGUUGCCCG
This 761-nucleotide ribosomal RNA is filed under the name uncultured cyanobacterium. RNAcentral's name for it is "bacterial SSU rRNA". It matches the Rfam family "Bacterial small subunit ribosomal RNA", at positions 28 to 829 of the family's 1533-position model. The record is from RNAcentral. Lineage: Bacteria; Bacillati; Cyanobacteriota.